AAAGACUUAGUUAAAUAAAUAACAUUGGCUUGUCAAGUCAAAAUUAUUAUAAAUAUAAUAGUUUUUG
This 67-nucleotide transfer RNA is filed under the name Callipogon relictus. Its description in RNAcentral is "tRNA-Asp". It matches the Rfam family "tRNA". From Rfam's summary of the family: Transfer RNA (tRNA) molecules are approximately 80 nucleotides in length. Lineage: Eukaryota; Metazoa; Arthropoda; Insecta; Coleoptera; Cerambycidae. The record is from RNAcentral.